AUCAUGGCUCAGGAUUAAACGCUAGCGGGAGGGCAUAACACAUGCAAGUCGCACGGUAUUAUGGUUUCGGCCAUAAGAGAGUGGCGGACGGGUGCGUAACGCGUAUGCAACCUACCUUAUGCAGGGGGAUAGCCCAUGGAAACGUGGAUUAAUACCCCAUAAAAUUAUGAGAUCGCAUGGUUUAUAAUAAAAGUUACGGCGGCAUAAGAUGGGCAUGCGUCUGAUUAGUUAGUUGGUAAGGUAACGGCUUACCAAGACCACGAUCAGUAGGGGUCCUGAGAGGGUUUUCCCCCACACUGGUACUGAGACACGGACCAGACUCCUACGGGAGGCAGCAGUGAGGAAUAUUGGUCAAUGGCCGCGAGGCUGAACCAGCCAUCCCGCGUGCAGGAAGAAUGCCUUAUGGGUUGUAAACUGCUUUUCUUAACCAAGAAAAGGGCCGACGCGUCGGUCACUGACGGUAGUUAAGGAAUAAGCAUCGGCUAACUCCGUG
Molecule: ribosomal RNA, 493 nt
Filed under: uncultured bacterium
Lineage: Bacteria
Description: bacterial SSU rRNA
Rfam family: Bacterial small subunit ribosomal RNA
Source: RNAcentral